Molecule: long non-coding RNA, 252 nt
Filed under: Linum usitatissimum (flax)
Lineage: Eukaryota; Viridiplantae; Streptophyta; Magnoliopsida; Malpighiales; Linaceae
Description: long non-coding RNA (LUSI_LNC006617)
Source: RNAcentral
UGCAAUGCACCCGAUGACGCCCGAUUUGGGUCAAGGAGGGUGCUGUGCACUAGAAGAUGCUGUGGUUCUGGGGAGGCAGAUUGGGAAUUCCUUCCUGAAGAAUGGCAAGUCGCUGGUACCGGAAGAGAUGGGGUCAGUGUUGAAUGGGUAUGUUAAGGAGAGGAGAUGGAGGGCGGCCGGGUUGGUUACGGGUUCGUACGUAUCGGGUUGGGUUCAGCAGAGUGGGCAAAAUUGGUGGAGGAAGCUGCUCAG